GGGGGGGGGGGGGGGGGGGGGGGGGGGGGGGGGGGCUGGGGGGGGGGGGGGCGGGCGGGGCGUAGCCGGGGGGGGGGGGUGGGUGGGGCGUGAGGAACUUGCCCUGCGGUCGGGGAUAACAGACGGAAGCGACGGAUCAGACCUGGUAAAGUCAGGCGGACUCAUGUCCAGCCGGAUGAAAAGCGAUGCUGCAGGAGAGCCUUGCGUCCUAUUAGCUUGUUGGUGGGGUAACGGCCCACCAAGGCGAGGAUAGGUAGCCGGCCUGAGAGGGUGGACGGCCACAAGGGGACUGAGAUACGGCCCUUACUCCUACGGGAGGCAGCAGUGGGGAAUAUUGGACAAUGGGGGCAACACUGAUCCAGCAAUUCUGUGUGAACGAUGAAGGUUUUCGGAUUGUAAAGUGCUUUCAGCAGGGAAGAAAAAAAUGACGGUACCUGAAGAAGAAGCGACGGCUAAAUACGUG
This 463-nucleotide ribosomal RNA is filed under the name uncultured bacterium. Its description in RNAcentral is "partial 16S ribosomal RNA". The stretch from base 51 to 463 matches the Rfam family "Bacterial small subunit ribosomal RNA", at positions 35 to 507 of the family's 1533-position model. The record is from RNAcentral.